GUUUUGCGACGGAAGAAGAAAGUACCUGUCGGCAAUAAGCACUUGUGAGAUUAAAUCAGAUGACGUUUGUGAAGUGCCCACAUACAGGAGUGUCGAAAAGAAUGCCAACCCUUGUGUUUGUACUACGAAGGAAUACAUAGAAAGGAAGAGAAAGAAAGGAAACAAAUUCUCGAAGCAAAUUCCAGGUCUCAGUCAACCGCAUACAUCAAUCAGGCCAUUCAGGAUUUCCCAACUAUUUCUUUUA
Molecule: long non-coding RNA, 244 nt
Filed under: Panthera leo (lion)
Lineage: Eukaryota; Metazoa; Chordata; Mammalia; Carnivora; Felidae
Description: lncRNA (ENSPLOG00000001094.1)
Source: RNAcentral